GGCCAGUGUUGAGAGGCGGAGACUUGGGCAAUUGCUGGAC
This 40-nucleotide unclassified non-coding RNA is filed under the name Saguinus labiatus (red-chested mustached tamarin). RNAcentral describes it as "partial precursor microRNA mir-25". The record is from RNAcentral. Lineage: Eukaryota; Metazoa; Chordata; Mammalia; Primates; Cebidae.